AGAAUCAACGCUGGCGGCGUGCCUAACACAUGCAAGUCGAACGAGAAAGUGGGAGCAAUCCCAUGAGUAAAGUGGCGCACGGGUGAGUAACACGUGACUAACCUACCCUUGAGUGGGGGAUAACCUAGGGAACCUGGGCUAAUACCGCAUAAUACCUACGGGUCAAAGGAGCAAUUCGCUUUAGGAGGGGGUCGCGGCAGAUUAGUUAGUUGGCGGGGUAAUGGCCCACCAAGACAGUGAUCUGUA
This 246-nucleotide ribosomal RNA is filed under the name uncultured bacterium. RNAcentral describes it as "partial small subunit ribosomal RNA". It matches the Rfam family "Bacterial small subunit ribosomal RNA", at positions 26 to 285 of the family's 1533-position model. The record is from RNAcentral.